This 59-nucleotide transfer RNA is filed under the name Kandleria vitulina. RNAcentral's name for it is "tRNA_Lys_CTT". It matches the Rfam family "tRNA", at positions 1 to 57 of the family's 71-position model. Rfam says of the family: Transfer RNA (tRNA) molecules are approximately 80 nucleotides in length. Their secondary structure includes four short double-helical elements and three loops (D, anti-codon, and T loops). Lineage: Bacteria; Bacillati; Bacillota; Erysipelotrichia; Erysipelotrichales; Coprobacillaceae. The record is from RNAcentral.
GUCUCCUUAGCUCAGUUGGCAGAGCAUCUGACUCUUAAUCAGAGGGUCCACGGUUCGAG